UACAGAGGGUGCAAACGUUGUUCGGAAUUACUGGGCAUAAAGCGCGCGUAGGCGGCGAUGUAAGUGUAGGGUGAAAUCCCACGGCUUACCCGUGUGAAUUGCCCCGCAUACUGCAUUGCUCGAGUGUGGUAGGGGAGAGCGGAACUCCUGGUGGAGCGGUGAAAUGCGUAGAUAUCAGGAGGAACACCGGUGGCGAAGGCGGCUCUCUGGUCCACUACUGACGCUGAAGUGCGAAAGCUAGGGUAGCGAACGGG
Molecule: ribosomal RNA, 254 nt
Filed under: uncultured bacterium
Lineage: Bacteria
Description: partial 16S ribosomal RNA
Rfam family: Bacterial small subunit ribosomal RNA
Source: RNAcentral